AGAUCGAGGGGCAAGGUCAGACCUUUCUUCAGAGGCGUGGUACGAGGCCGGCACCUGAAGAUGCUGGUGUUCCUGCUGCUUCUGGGGCCUGGCUCUGGGCUUGGCGCUCACGUCUCUCAACAUCCGAGCAGGGCUAUCCGUGAGAAGGGAGCCUCUGUGACGUUCCAGUGCCAUGCAGAGGACUUUCAGGCCAUGACUGUGUUUUGGUAUCGUCAGUUCCUGGAGCAGGGCCUCACACUGAUAGCAACUUCUAACCAGGGCUCCAAUGCCACAUACGAACAAGGUUUUACCAAGGACAAGUUUCCCAUCAACCAUCCAAACCUAACAUUUUCAUCUCUGAUGGUGACGAGCGUGCACCCUGCAGACAGCAGCCUCUACUUCUGCAGUGCUAGUGACACAGCGCUGGGCGGAGAUCAGAGACCCAAACAAGAAUCCGGCAACAGCCCCUCUCCCCGACCCCACCAAAUGCAGGGAGCCCUGUGGAAAGGGGGCGUGGGAGAGAAAAACCACAGCCUCUCUGACUGA
This is a non-coding RNA of Vicugna pacos (alpaca), 525 nucleotides long. The record is from the annotation of a RefSeq genome assembly. Lineage: Eukaryota; Metazoa; Chordata; Mammalia; Artiodactyla; Camelidae.